GCGGGAAUAUUGGGCAAUGGACGAAAGUCUGACCCAGCGACGCCGCGUGAGGGAUGAAGCUUCUCGGAGCGUAAACCUCAAACGGAUAGGGACGAAAAGCCUAUCGGCUAAUAUCCGGUAGGCCUGACGGUACCUGUUACGAAGCUCCGGCUAACUCCGUGCCAGCAGCCGCGGUAAUACGGGGGGAGCGAGCGUUGUUCGGAAUUACUGGGCGUAAAGGGCGUCUAGGCGGGUCGGUCAGUCAGAAGUGAAAACUCCCGGCUUAACUGGGAGCCUGCUUUUGAAACUGCCGGUCUUGAGUGUGGAAGAGGUGCGGGGAAUUCUCAGUGUAGCGGUGAAAUGCGUAGAUAUUGGGAAGAAUGCCGGUGGCGAAGGCGCCGCACUGGUCUAACACUGACGCUGAAGCGCGAAAGCGUGGGGAGCAAACAG
Molecule: ribosomal RNA, 429 nt
Filed under: uncultured bacterium
Lineage: Bacteria
Description: bacterial SSU rRNA
Rfam family: Bacterial small subunit ribosomal RNA
Source: RNAcentral